GACGAACGCUGGCGGCGUGCUUAACACAUGCAAGUCGAACGGUGAAGCGCCUUCCUUUUUGGUGGGUGUGGAUGAGUGGCGAACGGGUGAGUAACACGUGAGUAACCUGCCCCCUUCUUCUGGAUAACCGCAUGAAAGUGUGGCUAAUACGGGUAUUUUGGGUUCUGUGGCUUGUGGGGUUGGGAAAGAAUAUGGUUUGGGGGGGGGAGGGCCCGCGGCCUAUCAGCUUGUUGGUGGGGUGGUGGCCUACCAAGGCGGUGACGGGUAGCCGGCCUGAGAGGGUGGACGGUCACACUGGGACUGAGACACGGCCCAGACUCCUACGGGAGGCAGCAGUGGGGAAUAUUGCACAAUGGGCGCAAGCCUGAUGCAGCGACGCCGCGUGAGGGAUGGAGGCCUUCGGGUUGUGAACCUCUUUCGCCAGUGAAGCAGGCCUGCCUCGUUUGUGGGUGGGUUGACGGUAGCUGGAUAAGAAGCGCCGGCUAACUACGUG
This 493-nucleotide ribosomal RNA is filed under the name uncultured bacterium. RNAcentral describes it as "partial 16S ribosomal RNA". It matches the Rfam family "Bacterial small subunit ribosomal RNA", at positions 28 to 507 of the family's 1533-position model. The record is from RNAcentral.